GUGGGGAAUAUUGGACAAUGGGCGAAAGCCUGAUCCAGCCAUGCCGCGUGUGUGAAGAAGGUCUUCGGAUUGUAAAGCACUUUAAGUUGGGAGGAAGGGCAGUAAGUUAAUACCUUGCUGUUUUGACGUUACCGACAGAAUAAGCACCGGCUAACUUCGUGCCAGCAGCCGCGGUAAUACGAAGGGGGCUAGCGUUGCUCGGAAUUACUUGGCGUAAAGCGCGCGUAGGUGGUUUUGUAAGUUGGAGGUGAAAUCCCCGGGCUCAACCUGGGAACUGCCUCCAAAACUGCAUGACUAGAGUACGGUAGAGGGUAGUGGAAUUUCCUGUGUAGCGGUGAAAUGCGUAGAUAUAGGAAGGAACACCAGUGGCGAAGGCGACUACCUGGACUGAUACUGACACUGAGGUGCGAAAGCGUGGGGAGCAAACAGGAUUAGAUACCCUAGUAGUCC
Molecule: ribosomal RNA, 450 nt
Filed under: uncultured bacterium
Lineage: Bacteria
Description: partial 16S ribosomal RNA
Rfam family: Bacterial small subunit ribosomal RNA
Source: RNAcentral